AGACACUCAAAAGACAGAGUACUAGACAUGAUGCAAGAGCAUUAGCUAGAUCAAACAGCUUCCACA
RNAcentral lists this small RNA (66 nucleotides) under Arabidopsis thaliana (thale cress). Its description in RNAcentral is "ATSL123980". The record is from RNAcentral. Lineage: Eukaryota; Viridiplantae; Streptophyta; Magnoliopsida; Brassicales; Brassicaceae.